GAGCGCGUAGCUCAGUCGGUAGAGCACCUGACUUUUAAUCAGGGGGUCCUGGGUUCGAGCCCCAGCGCGCUCACCA
Molecule: transfer RNA, 76 nt
Filed under: Methylocystis rosea
Lineage: Bacteria; Pseudomonadati; Pseudomonadota; Alphaproteobacteria; Hyphomicrobiales; Methylocystaceae
Also listed under: 5 other names
Description: tRNA-Lys
Rfam family: tRNA
About the family: Transfer RNA (tRNA) molecules are approximately 80 nucleotides in length. Their secondary structure includes four short double-helical elements and three loops (D, anti-codon, and T loops).
Source: RNAcentral